Molecule: ribosomal RNA, 253 nt
Filed under: uncultured bacterium
Lineage: Bacteria
Description: partial 16S ribosomal RNA
Rfam family: Bacterial small subunit ribosomal RNA
Source: RNAcentral
UACGUAGGAGGCAAGCGUUAUCCGGAAUUAUUGGGCGUAAAGAGCGCGCAGGUGGUUAAUUAAGUCUGAUGUGAAAGCCCACGGCUCAACCGUGGAGGGUCAUUGGAAACUGGUUAACUUGAGUGCAGAAGAGGGUAGUGGAAUUCCAUGUGUAGCGGUGAAAUGCGUAGAGAUAUGGAGGAACACCAGUGGCGAAGGUGGCUACCGGGUCUGUAAUUGACACUGAGGCGCGAAAGCGUGGGGAGCAAACAGG